This is a long non-coding RNA of Oxyura jamaicensis (ruddy duck), 3910 nucleotides long. RefSeq lists it as uncharacterized. The record is from RefSeq and is a predicted model, not a curated record. Lineage: Eukaryota; Metazoa; Chordata; Aves; Anseriformes; Anatidae. The transcript is spliced from 4 exons.
AUCUGCAGGUCCUCAUGAUAGAAAAUUUACUUACUAGGCUCCUCAGGUCUGUCUUUAAAGCGGUUAGGCUGACCACUUAAGUAUUUUUAGGUUAGGUAUCAUUAUGUGUACCUGAGGGAGGAAGACGUGGACUUCCAAGAGGCUGUGGUGGUAUGACUCAGUUGUUGUAUGUGCAGUUAGGACCUGUAGACUAGAUAAAACCAGCACCUCGUAGAAAUCUUGGAUCUGAGUAGUAAAUGACCAACACAGUUUAUCUAAAAUCUGCAACUGGGGCUCAUCUGAGUAUUUGCAAGAGGAAACAACUCAACAUGAGUAAGAACUUUCAAGAUCAGACCCAUAAUACUGGUGCUACUAGUAGAUGAUUAAAUCUAUGUACGAGACCUUCUCAUUUCUAGAGAACGACUGUCUCAAUGAUCUCCGACCGCCUAAUACUAUUGCUUUUUAAGACAGACAAUGUAGGUCUUCCUGUUUAUUUUCCCAACUAACAAGUCAGUCAAGUAACCUUUUAGGAAAUACUACAGGUCACUUCUGUAGCAUACCUCACUGCAUGGAAACCUUUAUUGCCAGGAUGAAUGAUAUUCUUAGAUAUUCAUGGGAAGUAAACAGCAAUAAUCCUGACAGGAGGUGUUGGCAGAAUGAAGUGUGAACAGGAAGUGAUUAAAGAUAAAAGACAAUCUCAGGAGUUACCUUUAGCUCACUGUGUGAUUAUAGGUGUGGUUAAAACAGGUCACAACAGAGCGUAACACCUGCUGACAACAAAGCUAAUCGGAGAUCCAAAGUUCGCUCGUCACUCAGGCUAGAUUGAGAUUAUAUAACCAGACCGAUCACACUGAAUAAAAUUCUUGGUGCUUAACAUAUGCUUUUCAGCUUUAACUGUGUUUCAGUGUAGGCAGAAACAUAUGCUACAUGUCUCAUAAGCAAAGCUGUAGUGACACCUACAUUAAGCUUCCAAGACAUUUAGCAUUAAAACAUUUACCUUCAUUUUCAUUACAAUUAUGCACAGAAUGAGGCAGGAGCCCAGGCAAAAACAAUGUGUGAUCAUGUAAUAAGGACGGCUUCAUAAUGACAAGGGAGGCAAAUGAUGGUUGCACCAUCCACCUUCAUUAGUGUAUUUCCCAACCUCUGUGAGUUUUGUGUUGGGUGUUGGGUGUGUUUUUUUAACUUGUAGUCCCAUUGGACAUCUUCCAUCUUUCCUUACAUCUUUCAUGUAAGUUUUCAGCUAAUACUUUACUUACUCUCUAAAACAGAAAACCAUACAUAUUAUCUAUAUGAUUAUCAAAGUAUUGUUGGCUAGUAUCAAUAUUGUAUCUGUCUUAAUUUGUGAUGGGUUCGUGUUUGUGAGUAACAGGAUGUGUGUGACAAAUGUGGGCCAUGUAGUUUGUGCAUGUUAUCUUGGUAUCUUCUUCCAUUUCUGUGCAUACAAAUCCUGAAUCCUUGGGCUUUGGGAAAAGAGACAGAAAAGAUAAUAUCAUGAGCAAUACUCAGUGUUUCAACAGAUCUCUUUGAAGUUACUCUUCUGGUUUACAGCCUGGCAUUGAUACCCCUCCAUACUGAUUCUGUGGCUCACCUUGACCUGUCUUCAGAGAAAUCUUCUGUGACAAUCUAGAAGGGACAUGUUUUCCUGUGGGGAGUGGGAUGUGCAGGUCUUGCAUGGGACGUACCCUACCCGCAGAGGUAGACUUGUCAUUUACAUUUCAAAUGAUCAAAAGCCAGCAGAAUAAAGAAAUCCUUUAGCGAGCGGCACUCACCGGGGAUUAGCUGUGAGUGGACCGAACAACUUGGUGGCUCCCCGGUGGGGUGACCUCUGACUCCCGGGUCAGAUGGCGACUCAUCUCGUGCCUCCUGACUGAAGCAAGCUGAGGGUUCCCAACAAGUGUUCUCCCCAUCCUCACCGGUUUCCCUCCAUGCAGCAAUGGGCAGUGCCGAAGAUGAGCUCUGUGUUAUCACAGCUGCUAUUCCACAAAAGCGGGGGAAAAUGAUAAAGUAUAUAGAAUAUCAAAGGCUACGGUAACUGUUAUUGGAAGGAAACUGUAACCUCUUUUACCACCUAAAGGGACCUGUCUGCUUUCCUCCUCUGUAACUUCAGAGCUGCUUUUCCAGCAGGGGUUUUCCCUGCGUAGCAGCGGUGCUUCAAUUCAUUGCAGAGUUGAAAGGCGGCAAGAGUGGCUUUUGGAAACGUUUCUGCUAUGGAUGGUAACUCUACCCAGGCCUGAUGGUAUCACAGAUCCUGUGGUGGUGGCAGAGAAAGGUUUAAAGGGAGUCGUGCACAAGCUUUAAAUGCUAUAUCUGAACUGAACCCAUUUACUUCAGCUAGGAAUUCACAAGCAAUGCGUUUCGGAGGCAAAACACAGUAAGAAGAGAAGCCAAAAAUUAAACUGAAACCUUACGUGUAAUGGAGGUCAGAUUUUGUGUGUAAGGCUAAUAUGUAGAUGAGUAUCACUGAACAAAUGAGUUAUGCAGAUUAACUCUGCCUUUGAGAAAAUUGGUUAAAUACUAUGCUAUCCACUGUUUUACACAGUCUUUGAAAUCCUGGCUGUUUUACAAAGCAGUCGACUGCAUCUUUUAUCAGGUUAUCAAGGGUUUGGAUCAAUUCAUGAUGAAUAAGCGUCCAACCUACUCUAUUGAAAGCUCUGUCAGUCAUUGUAGUAUACCGGUAGGUUUUCAAGAAACAGCUGUGGAAAAGGAACCUUUCCCUCUUAGCUAUUGUUGGAGAAAAAGUAACAAAUCGCUUUCAUUGUUGGAAGGGAGUGUUGGCUCACACAAAGUCAGGUUAAGUGAUGUGUGUUAUUUUAUAUGUGAAUAAACUGGAUGGAGUUAGGCAAACCUCCAGUGUAUUAAAGCAUUGCACCUUAAAAUGAGAUUUCCAAACAAUUCAAAGGAAUUAAGCUCCAGUGCAGUUUAGAUUGAUGCCCUGGCAUGCAAUGAAUGGGGGAGGAAUAAAACAGUGAUAUUGAAUAUACUAUACAUAUUUAAGUAAGUAUGCAUUUGAUACAUGUUCAUGUGCAAAUACAAACAUAAUUAUAUGUGUUAGCUUUUUGCUUCUCCGCCAUUAAUUAGUAGUUGAUUUCUUGUAAACAUGCAUGGCAGAAGAAUGCUCUUGGAGGCUUUAUUAAAAGAAUAGGCUGUAGCAGCUGUAGAGAUAUUUAGGGAUGAGGAGGUAGGCAGAUAGGAAGAAGUUGUGUAGAAGGCUGGCAAGGAGCAGGAGUAGUUAUGGAGGGGCAGGCAAUCUGCAAUAGGCAUAAAAAGGGGAAGACCUUUAGGAUUAAGAAUACGGCAAACUUUGUGCCCUUCUGGUAUCUCCUUUGUCCAUCACUUUGCACAGACCUGUUUUUUGUUUGUUUGUUUGUUUGUUUUUCCCAAGUUGGUUGCAGGUGAUGAAAUGGCUUUAAACUGUUAGCCAUUAGGAAACAGUCAGAAAGCUGUGAUGUGCAUUUCAUGAUCAACUGUGUCUGUUCACCAAUGCUCUUGUGACUAUUGCACUGUUUCAGGGAGAUGAUCCAGCCAAAAAGUAACCUGAAAAAGAAUUGCUGAGCUCUGUGAACCUGUUCCCUAGGAUCACAUAAGUCUGAGAUCUGCAAAUCCAAUCUGUUUUAUUGAUACACAUGAAGAUGCACUGAUAUAAGAGAGGCAGCACUGGACCAUGGCACGGAGUAGAGGUGGGUGGCCUUGCACCUGGGGAAACUGAGUGGCAGAACAGGAGACUGAACAGAAGAAGUGUGUUAACCAGUGAUACUGGUAAUUCCUGAUGCACUCUGUGCCCUGAGCCAGCUUCUGCUUUUAGUUCAUAUACACCCACAGUGACUCCACAUCGAAGUGGCCUUAGCUGUUGAACGACUACCUGUCAGUAUGGUAACGCUCACCAAACAUGGCAUUUAUGAGAUCAACGUCAUUUUGAGAUGUUUUUAUACCU